This 490-nucleotide ribosomal RNA is filed under the name uncultured bacterium. RNAcentral's name for it is "partial 16S ribosomal RNA". It matches the Rfam family "Bacterial small subunit ribosomal RNA", at positions 30 to 507 of the family's 1533-position model. The record is from RNAcentral.
AUUGAACGCUGGCGGCAUGCCUAACACAUGCAAGUCGAACGGUCACAGGAGACAGCUUGUUGUUUCGCUGUCGCGUGGCGGUCGGGUGAGUCAUGUCUGGGACCCAGCCAGAUGGCGGGGGAAAACUCCUGAAAACGGUAGCUAUUCCCGCCUAUCGUUCCAAGACCAACGUGGGGGACUUUCGGGCGUCUUGCCUUCCACUGUGCCCAGGUGGGGUUAGCUAGUAGGUGGGGUAACGGCUAACCUAGGCCACGAGCCCUAGCUGGUCUGAGAGGGUGACCAGCCACACUGGAACUGAGACACGGUCCAGACUCCUACGGGAGGCAGCAGUGGGGAAUAUUGCGCAAUGGGCGCAAGCCUGAUGCAGCAAUGCCGCGUGUAUGAAGAAGGUCUUCGGGUUGUAAAGUACUUUCAGCGGGGAGGAAGGAAGGAAAGAUAAACCCUGAACUCAUUGACGGUACCCGCAGAAAAAGCACCGGCUAACUCCGUG